AGUCGAACGAGACCUUCGGGUCUAGUGGCGCACGGGUGCGUAACGCGUGCGUAUCUGCCCUUGGGUUCGGAAUAACAGUUGGAAACGACUGCUAAUACCGGAUGAUGACGAAAGUCCAAAGAUUUAUCGCCCAGGGAUGAGCCCGCGUAGGAUUAGCUAGUUGGUGAGGUAAAGGCUCACCAAGGCUACGAUCCUUAGCUGGUCUGAGAGGAUGAUCAGCCACACUGGGACUGAGACACGGCCCAGACUCCUACGGGAGGCAGCAGUAGGGAAUAUUGGACAAUGGGGGCAACCCUGAUCCAGCAAUGCCGCGUGAGUGAUGAAGGCCUUAGGGUUGUAAAGCUCUUUUACCCGGGAUGAUAAUGACAGUACCGGGAGAAUAAGCCCCGGCUAACUCCGUGCCAGCAGCCGCGGUAAUA
RNAcentral lists this ribosomal RNA (419 nucleotides) under uncultured bacterium. RNAcentral's name for it is "bacterial SSU rRNA". It matches the Rfam family "Bacterial small subunit ribosomal RNA", at positions 60 to 525 of the family's 1533-position model. The record is from RNAcentral.